Molecule: long non-coding RNA, 1331 nt
Organism: Syngnathoides biaculeatus (alligator pipefish)
Lineage: Eukaryota; Metazoa; Chordata; Actinopteri; Syngnathiformes; Syngnathidae
Exons: 3
Source: RefSeq, a predicted model, not a curated record
CUAGUUUCACCAAAGGAUAUAAUGGAACUAAAACAAUAGCUUUAUUGCCUUGGGAGCUGUACUGGCAUCCCAAAAUAAAGAUGUAACAAUGUGUGGCCAGUGAAUGUGUGUGCUAAUGGUUGUGCGUCUAUCUGCAUGUACUGUCCAAGGCGUACACUGUCUAUGCCCAAAUUCAGUUUGGCGGGUCAGCUAGCUCAUCGUGACACUGAACAAGACAAGUAGCAGACAAUGGCUUGCUGGAUUAACCAUACAGGUCUGUGAGUUACACUCACUCCGCCAUGCUGUGCUGACAUAAUUGGCGCCAAAGUUGUUGAUGUCGUGUCAUGAGUCGUGUCGAAGACUUCACCAAACAGCAGAGGAGGAGAGAACAACCUUAAAACGUCAAAGUUUGUGUGCACAUCCUUCUGCACAGAGAGACUCCUUCAAGGCAUGCGGGGAAAGCAACAAAAGAACAGACGUUGAGACACCGAUGCGUUGGCGUCGUCCCUCGCCUCCACGCAGCAUCUUCUCUCCUUCCGGAAUCAUCCUCGCACGGAGUGAGUGACUGACCUGAAUCUGUCUCUUUGCAUUACGACGCCCGCCCCGCUGGAAGAAGCAAUGGCAUGAAGGCAAAGCCCCAACUGCAUUGCAUGGCCUCAUUUAUGUGCAUGAGUCUAAGUGUGUGUAAUUGAACCUGCUGCAACGAUCAGGCAUCAUAUUUUUUAUUUUUUUUGGAAUGUUAGUGACACAAAUACUGUGCGCUUUGCUGUGGGUGCACACUAGUUGUGAUUUGCGCUUAACUGUAUGCGUUAUGGCACUCGAUAUCUCACCUUUAUAAUGUGGACAUUUUUCACACAGGAAAAAUAUGGGGGUGUACUGCACUCGCUUGGCCGAACUCUCCGAGCCCAAGAUCAAGUCUUUUGAAAGUGAAAACAAAGACCAAAACUAGCUGAAACUGUGAUAAGACCAAGAUAGUAAAAAUCCAUUUUCAAAAGGGUGAUAACGGUGGCUGAGAUGGUAAAGCGUUGGCCUCACAGUUCUGAGGUCCCGGGUUCAAUCCCAGACCCGCAUGUGUGGAGUUUGAAUGUUCUCCCCGUGCCUGCGUGGGUUUCCUCCGCGCACUCUGGUUUCCUCCCACAUUCCAAACACAUGCAACAUGAAUUGGACACUCUAAAUUGCCCCUAUGUCUGAUUAUGAGUGUGGCUGUUUGUCUCAAUGUGCCCUGCGAUUGGCUGGCAACCAGUUCAGGGUGUACUCCCCCUCUUACCCAAUGACAGCUGGGAUAGGUACCAGCACUCCCCGUGACCCUCGUGAGGAUAAGCGGUGAAGAAAAUUGAUGGAUGGAUGGAUGA